GAUGGUAUUCCUCGGUUGACCCUAGGAAGUUGUCUGGAGCUGUGAAGUUAUCCUGCUGCCCUUUGAACUUUGUCCUGACUCUCUUUCAGAUGCAGACUGAUAAAAUCCAUGGCAGAACUCCCUAUCCCAGGAAGUAAAGCCAUCUAGCAGCAGUCAAGGCAAAGUGGUCGAGGCGGUCCACUUUCACUCCAUGCUGGCUGAGGAUGCUUGAUGCCAGGUACCUUCCAGGCAGACUCUGGAGUCAAAUCAAGAUUUGAGGUAUCGCGAGGAGCUUCGUAGCCAAAGUUCGGAGAGAGCACCACCGAAGCACAUGAGACCAUCUCAACGUCCACGUCCCACCGGGGAUGGAUUUUGUCAGCUCGUCUUCCAAAAGCUAAGUGUUGGGGUCCAUAGUUGGGAGAAGGGGAAAAACCUUUAUUGUCACAGGAGGCCAUGUGAUAUUAGCUUAGCGGAACAGGUCCCUCGGAAGUAAAGGGAGAGGGUUUCUCCUUGGCCUCACCAGAGCCUUUGCCGGGCAGGGCAGUUCCGACCCGUCUCCGCGUUCUCGCGAACUUUGCGUCGUCAGCCUCCUUCGACCCUCGACAUCGUCGUGGAUCUUUCUCCCGAGGAGCUCGCCUUCAGGUCCGGAGCUAUAGCCACCAUCACCUGGCAGUCUUUGCUUCCUUAUCUAGGCCCACCGAGCCUCUCAAGCAUCCUCUUAACUGCUUUGGCACUAACUUCUUUUAAGGAGUUGCAUUUCAUCGUCACACGCUAUUG
Long non-coding RNA from Passer montanus (Eurasian tree sparrow), 756 nucleotides. RefSeq lists it as uncharacterized. The record is from RefSeq and is a predicted model, not a curated record. The transcript is spliced from 5 exons. Lineage: Eukaryota; Metazoa; Chordata; Aves; Passeriformes; Passeridae.